GGAUUAGAUACCCUGGUAGUCCACGCCGUAAACUUUGUGUACUAGAUGUUGGAAGUUUCAACUCUUUCAGUGUCGCAGCUAACGCAUUAAGUACACCGCCUGGGGAGUACGCCCGCAAGGGUGAAACUCAAAGGAAUUGACGGGGGCCCGCACAAGCGGUGGAGCAUGUGGUUUAAUUCGAUGAUACGCGAGGAACCUUACCUGGGCUAGAAUGUGAGCGCAAUUCCCAGAGAUGGGAAGUUCUUCGGACGUGAAACAAGGUGCUGCAUGGCUGUCGUCAGCUCGUGUUG
Molecule: ribosomal RNA, 290 nt
Filed under: uncultured bacterium
Lineage: Bacteria
Description: partial 16S ribosomal RNA
Rfam family: Bacterial small subunit ribosomal RNA
Source: RNAcentral